UACGGAGGAUGCGAGCGUUAUCCGGAUUUAUUGGGUUUAAAGGGUGCGUAGGCGGAAUAUCAAGUCAGCGGUAAAAAUUCGGGGCUCAACCCCGUCGUGCCGUUGAAACUGAUGUUCUUGAGUGGGCGAGAAGUAUGCGGAAUGCGUGGUGUAGCGGUGAAAUGCAUAGAUAUCACGCAGAACUCCGAUUGCGAAGGCAGCAUACCGGCGCCCAACUGACGCUGAAGCACGAAAGCGUGG
RNAcentral lists this ribosomal RNA (240 nucleotides) under uncultured bacterium. RNAcentral describes it as "partial 16S ribosomal RNA". It matches the Rfam family "Bacterial small subunit ribosomal RNA", at positions 524 to 764 of the family's 1533-position model. The record is from RNAcentral.